UUUUAAUAUCUAUUAAAUGACUGUGUUCGUUUCCGUAUCGAUGUUCACAUUUUUAUUUUCACCGCGCAUUGAUUGUUUCGUUGACAGUUCUGCUAAAUUACAGUUGAAGAGUCAGAGAAGGAUUGCGAGUUUCUCAGCGAUUUCUGCCUGAAAACGAAUUACAAAUAAUUCGAAAUAGGUAUACCAUAAAUACCUACACCAUGUCACGUUAUAAUCUAACAAGAUGUAUAAUACCACUAUUUGUAAUUCUACAAUUUCUAACAUUAUCAAAUUCGCAAGAACAAGAGCCAGAACUUCUGAAAGCCACCAAUGAACAAUUCAAAAAUAAACACGUUUUUAAGCCAACUAAAGUAGCUGUAGAUUACAUCAGCGCAUAUCGUCCACGUCCACCGCCACCAGUCAUAAGCGUGCUUCAAGAAGAGCCCAAGCAGGACGAAUACACGAAAAUACCAAGUACCGUAGACACAUACGAAUCUAAUGCAGCAAUCAAUUUUGAAAGUUUUUACACCAAGCAAGUUGACGAUGAAAAAGAAUACAGGUGCCUGGCAUACAACAUGAAAAUAAAAAUUAGCUUCGUAGACGCUAAGCCGGUUCAUUUUGCCAGUAAAGUCGACCCUACAGAUUUCACGAAGGCCGACUACAAAUCUGAUUGUAUAUUUUUGAAAAAUAAACUGGCAAUUCCUGGAACUUACUAUGAAAAGAGCGCAGGAGUAGAAAUCAUAGGAGAACAGGCGAGCAUUGGUUCGAGUAGUUUUAAUAAUACAGACGGGGCAGAUUUAUUGAUGGAAAUUCCUCUGAAACAAUAAUGACAGCGGGUAGUUAGAAAUGAUUGUAUAAAAUGUAAUAACACUGAAAAAGUAAAUUAUUGGAUGUGCUCGUAGAUGGGUCGGGGUACCCUUUAGAUUCUAAUUUUCUGUAUAGUUUUAGUUUCAAAUUUCAGGUACCUGUACCUACCUUCUAUUAUAAAUAUAUAUAGAUUAAAAAAGUUA
This is a long non-coding RNA of Planococcus citri (citrus mealybug), 989 nucleotides long. RefSeq lists it as uncharacterized. The transcript has 2 exons. The record is from RefSeq and is a predicted model, not a curated record. Lineage: Eukaryota; Metazoa; Arthropoda; Insecta; Hemiptera; Pseudococcidae.